Molecule: long non-coding RNA, 1436 nt
Organism: Carassius gibelio (silver crucian carp)
Lineage: Eukaryota; Metazoa; Chordata; Actinopteri; Cypriniformes; Cyprinidae
Exons: 2
Source: RefSeq, a predicted model, not a curated record
UGAGAUGGACUGUUAAACAGUUUUCAUUACACCCAUUUGCGCUGCAAUUUAGCUGUUUUUAACGUUAGAAAGCACGGAAGGCUGGGGCCAGUAGCCCCUCAAUGCAGAACACAAGAUCCAGGAUCUUGUGAUCUCCAGUGGGGCGCUAGGACCGCGCAGCGCAGCGCCGCAGAGCAUCAGCGUCUCUUUGUUCGGUGUGUGCAACAUCUUCUCGCGCUCCGCAGUGAAUCUCGCGUUCCUCCUCAUCACUGCUACACUGGUUUGGAUGAUUGCAGUGGCAGCAACAUGGCUGUGAAUCUCAGCAAAAACAGACUGGCCCUCUUAACAGCCUACCAGGACGUUAUCAGCGAGACGUCGGCAACCGACUGUUCCUGGCCUUGUUCCAUGAUUCGGGAUUGGAUGGAAUCCAUGGAGCUCUAGGACACUGCUGUUAAGAGGUUGUUAAGUACAGCAUUCUUAGGAUAAGGUGUGCAUUUGUUUACUAUUUAAGGGAUGGUGAUGUUUCCACCACAGGAUAUCUUUCACGUUUGACUUUGUCCUACAGCUUAUUGCCCAGAAGAACAGGGCAGUGAAAGAUGCUGUCCCAUUGCAUCUGACAUAUCUGAAAAUAUUUGUGUGGUCCACUUGGUUUAGUUGAACACAUUAAGUCAUAACUAACUACUAAUGUUUUGAAGUUUGGUAUUUCUGCUAUGACACAUACAUCUGGAACCAUUUGGGGAUCAAAAGCCUUGCUCACCAUGUUUUGAGGAAGAGACAUAUUCUACACAUCCCCCAUAUGCAACUGGAAAGCUUCUUCUGUGCCAAUGGACAUCUAUAGUGUCAAAUAUGAUAAAGGAAAUAUUAAUCACAAAAUCUUAUAAGAGACUUAUCGCAGAGAACUCUGAGGUCUAUGAUUUAUGGGCUUUGUUGUCACUUUUUGGAAACUACAAUUAUUUGGACUUACUUUUUUAUAUUUAUAAUAUUUUUGAUUUAACAGGAUAUGCAUAAUGUUCCCCCAGGCCAUCAGGCUCCUAAACUCAAACACAGCCUUUCAACAUCUACAUGUCUCCUCUUAAUAAUCUCUUAAUAAUCAGUAAGAUAUUCACCAUUCUUUACCUCAUAUUGACAUAUUGACAGUGUAACAACCUGUUUGCAUAUUCGCCUCUUGUACAUUCCUGUGUAUCUUAAUAUUUAAGACUACUAUAUACUUUCAUGUACAUUUUAUUUUCUAUUCUAUAUUGAAGUCUACAGUAUACACUUUAUUUUAGAUUUGAUUCUUAUAUUUCUAUUGUUUACUUUUAUUUCAUUCUUUCAUACCUAUAUUUAUGUAUAUUUUCCUCUGUGUUGUAUUGCUUAAUAAUUGCACUGUCCAUAGAGCGGACCUGACACAUUUCAUUGCUGGUUAUAUAUUCUCUAUAUAAUUGUGUAUGUGAUUAAUAAAAAUCUUGAACCUUGAA